Molecule: unclassified non-coding RNA, 305 nt
Filed under: uncultured Humaria
Lineage: Eukaryota; Fungi; Ascomycota; Pezizomycetes; Pezizales; Pyronemataceae
Description: sequence contains ITS2
Source: RNAcentral
AACGCACAUUGCGCCUUUCGGUAUUCCGGAGGGCAUGCCUGUUCGAGAGUCAUUGACAACCGUUUCAAUCCCUUUUAUAUAAUAUAUUGAAGGGCUUGGUUGUGGUGGACGAGGUGAUGUAAACACUUGUUGAAUUACCUCCCCACCGAAAUUCAGAGGCGGUCCAUCCCCCAUGUCGUUGUGGCGUUGUAAAAGCUCUCCAGCAAUUUUCGCUUGCAAUCAUGGGCUUUAUGGCUUGCCAGUUGAAAACCCCCCAUAUAUCAAAGGUUGACCUCGGAUCAGGUAGGGAUACCCGCUGAACUUAA